CCUCCGGAACCUGUUGAGGACAAAUGUAAUGGACAUGCGCAUCGAUGGCGCCGGCAGUGACGAUUAGUUUUUCUCCAGCAAGAGCUUCGGUUGAGGAGCCGAUAAUCAAAUGUGGAUGUACGCCUUCCAUGAUAUCCGGGUUACCCGCUUUUCCUAUACCCACUAUUCUUCCCUGCCUGACUCCAAUAUCUGCCUGCGUAUAUGCACAUAAGUAUCUUGGAGUCAAGGUAUUGUUGGCAGUGAAACCUUGUAGAUUCCACUCCAAUCAACGAUCAGCACGUUGGUGAUUACAAGGUCGAGAGCAUUCAAGUGUGACCGGUUUGUUGCUUGGCCCAUACCCUCGCGAAUG
RNAcentral lists this small RNA (349 nucleotides) under Fibroporia radiculosa. RNAcentral's name for it is "5' ureB small RNA". It matches the Rfam family "5' ureB small RNA". The record is from Rfam by way of RNAcentral. Lineage: Eukaryota; Fungi; Basidiomycota; Agaricomycetes; Polyporales; Fibroporiaceae.